Cottoperca gobio is the source of this 823-nucleotide long non-coding RNA. RefSeq lists it as uncharacterized. NCBI's taxonomy places the organism in Eukaryota, Metazoa, Chordata, Actinopteri, Perciformes, Bovichtidae. The record is from RefSeq and is a predicted model, not a curated record. The transcript has 3 exons.
GACAGGAAAGUCAGAGGGCAUCUCUGGUGGAUGGAUGGAAAAUGGAAAUAAUGAAGGGGCCUGGGGAAUAAUGAAUGUUUCUGGACAGGAGACUGUCGCAGGAAGAUGUAAAUCUUUUUUUUUUUUUAAAGGCCUCUAAGAAAUACUUUAUUUCCUUUCUAAUGAGAAAUUGUUUUUUAAAUCACCGGGAAUUGUAUUUAUUUUCGCUUUGUUUUUUUAUUACAGUUUCAGAGUGCAAUACACUAAUACACCGCUGUCUUUAAUAUGGACAGCUGUAAAGUUACACAUGCAUUUGUCAUGAUUACAUUAUUUAUAAGCAAAAAUAUUUGAGUUGACAACUUUGCUAAUAGCAAAACAUCAAGAAAGUGCAACAACACAAGACAUAGCAUGCUAGUUAAUAGGCCUAUUACUUAAGUUACUCAGCCAUAGACGCUGCGGUUCUGGCACGACACCCAUGCUGCUCCCCGCCAGCAGUAAGUGCAGCAAAGGAAUCUAGAGAGACUCUUCUUUAGUUGGCUUCAAAGUUCUGGGCAACCCAGGAUGUUCUCAACAGGAGCAUGUUUGCUAUUUUCAGGAUGUCCGGAGGCAGUUCGGAGGGUCACACAGCUGCAAGGACGUGUACAACGCUGGGCUAAAGUUGCCUGAGGAACAGCCUAUAUGCCCUCUUUGGUUGAGAUGCCCGUCAGGAGCACAGAAUCACUACAGCACCAGUCUUAAAUCCAUCCAUCCAUCCAUUGUCUACUGCUUAUCCGGGGUCGGGUCGUGAGGGCAGCAGCUCCAGAAAGGAACUCCAAACUUCCCUUCUCCGGGCCACAUCCACCAG